Molecule: ribosomal RNA, 464 nt
Filed under: uncultured bacterium
Lineage: Bacteria
Description: bacterial SSU rRNA
Rfam family: Bacterial small subunit ribosomal RNA
Source: RNAcentral
GACGAACGCUGGCGGCGUGCCUAACACAUGCAAGUCGAACGGGACAGAGAGCUUCGGUUUUCUGUUUAGUGGCGAACGGGUGAGUAACGCGUGAGGAACCUGCCUUCCAGUGGGGGACAACAGUUGGAAACGACUGCUAAUACCGCAUAACAUGUACGGAUCGCAUGGUCUGUACAUCAAAGCUUUAUGUGCUGAAAGAUGGCCUCGCGUCUGAUUAGCUAGUUGGUGAGGUAACGGCCCACCAAGGCGACGAUCAGUAGCCGGACUGAGAGGUUGAACGGCCACAUUGGGACUGAGAUACGGCCCAGACUCCUACGGGAGGCAGCAGUGGGGAAUAUUGCACAAUGGGGGGAACCCUGAUGCAGCGACGCCGCGUGAGUGAAGAAGUAUUUCGGUAUGUAAAGCUCUAUCAGCAGGGAAGAUAAUGACGGUACCUGACUAAGAAGCCCCCGGCUAACUACGUG